CCUACGGGAGGCUGCAGUGAGGAAUAUUGGUCAAUGGGCGGAAGCCUGAACCAGCCAAGUCGCGUGCAGGAUGACGGCCCUACGGGUUGUAAACUGCUUUUAUACGGGAAUAAAGCGCCUUACUUGUAGGGCUUUGCAUGUACCGUAUGAAUAAGGACCGGCUAAUUCCGUGCCAGCAGCCGCGGUAAUACGGAAGGUCCGGGCGUUAUCCGGAUUUAUUGGGUUUAAAGGGAGCGUAGGCGGCAUGUCAAGCGUGCGGUGAAAUGUCCGGGCUCAACCCCGACAAGCCGUUGAAACUGGCGUGCUAGAGUGGGCGAGAAGUAUGCGGAAUGCGUGGUGUAGCGGUGAAAUGCAUAGAUAUCACGCAGAACUCCGAUUGCGAAGGCAGCAUACCGGCGCCCAACUGACGCUCAGGCACGAAAGCGUGGGUAUCGAACAGGAUUAGAUACCCUUGUAGUC
Molecule: ribosomal RNA, 459 nt
Filed under: uncultured bacterium
Lineage: Bacteria
Description: partial 16S ribosomal RNA
Rfam family: Bacterial small subunit ribosomal RNA
Source: RNAcentral